ACUCAUGAAAAUUAGUUCUCGUUACGAAUUAUUGCACGGUAUAUGAAAAUCGCGUGUGUACUGAAAAAAAUCGUUGACAGGAACGAGAACACAAUUUUUGCGGGCUUGUCUCCGCAACGCGACGAGAGACAAAUGCAAAAUAGUGAAAUUUGUCCCAUAUACGAGGUCUGCUUAAACUUUUACGUAUUUUUUUCAACCUCACAUGCGGAUAGUGUCGCUCAAAUUUCCAUACAAAUUUGCGGGCUAAGUAGAUCGUGUUUCAAUGCCGCUUUCUUUGUAGUCCAGCUACGGCAGCUACUGAUUUUUUUUUUCUUUUUACAUUUUCUCGAGAAAAAAUUUGUUGCAGACUACCGGAGUCAAAUUUUUCACGAAAAAACGCGCAUACCUCGCUCAUCAGUCGUUGAUUUGGACUCGCAUUCCCUCAAGCAAAUUUGUCGUUAACUACCAGAGUCAAAUUGUUCACGAAAACCACACGCGUACCUCGUUCUCAUCAAUCGCUGAUUUGGACUCGAAUAUUGGAAAUGAGAAAUCAGUUGGUCCCUCGUCGAGACAUCGAGCGAAUGUCGAAGGAAUUUUUACAUUUUCGUGUGUAGUUUUGUUCACUUUAAAUUUCGCGAAAGAUUCACGAGAGAAGAGAGUACUUGCCGCGCCUCAAAAUUCUUGCUCUAUCGUCCCCGGAUCGAGAGAAUAUCACACGAAGGCGCGCGAGCGACUCAAACUCGAGAGAAUUCCUCUUGAUCCACGACUUUUUAUUGGUUUGGUAUAAGCACGAAAGCCCUUUGUUGUUGACAGAUAAGGAAAAAGAUCGCUACUACAAGCAAAGAUAAGAUUUUUCUCGAGUGUUUGGGAAUUAACACGCGUUGAUUAACACAAUCGCGCGUCAUUGAAGAUUGGAGAAAAAAACGUCCGCUCUGGAAAGGAAAACACCGCAAAAUCCUUCGACGAGUAUUUGGCGAAAGGCUUGUUCACGAACUCGACGAUAUUACGCGCAUGCGAAAGACACUCGCAUCCGGAAGAUGCGGAAGUUUAAUCAACGCAGAUUCUCAUCUUUUUCCGUGGAGAAUAAACUCUUAGGAAAGCUUUCCUACAAAUAUAUCUCUCAGAAUUUUCUCAACUCGUAGAAGGGGAUGGAGAAAGUCACGAGAGCUGAUGAUACUUAACGUGUGUAUUUGUUACGUGAAUGCGGCCAAUUCAACGAAUUCGUGUGCUCGAUGAUCUCGAUGUUCAAACGUUUUUUUUUUUCAUCGUUUAGUGUUUAAUUUCGAAAAGUCGUGCACCAUAAAAUUUUCAAGGGAUUUUAAGGGGGUUGAAACGUUACAGAAGUCGGCGAAAUCGGAUACUUUUAUAAUAAUUUUAUUCGUUAUUUAGCUCGUUAAAGGCGAUUUGGGAUGGUAAUGAAUAGUGAGAGAAAAGUAAUAACUUUGGGGAUGAGAAAUAUUCGCUGCGAUUACCACAAAUCUUAAACUUUAAAACACUAUCACUUUAAAUUUGUUUCUUGUUUUUUUUCUAUGCUACGCUCGGUUACGAGAUAAAGUCUAGA
Molecule: long non-coding RNA, 1540 nt
Organism: Venturia canescens
Lineage: Eukaryota; Metazoa; Arthropoda; Insecta; Hymenoptera; Ichneumonidae
Exons: 2
Source: RefSeq, a predicted model, not a curated record